GGGGCAGUUUGGUUUUGACAGCGGGCAGAACUAUUCUGUAAGCACGUCCCCGAGAUGCCGAUUACGGGGUUAAUCAUAGACGGCAGACCAUAACUGGCGAAGAAACUACUUACGCUCUCGCUGCCUAAAAUCGAAUCACAGUAGAUACUGGCUUCAUUCCGACACAAGGUGUUGGAACGAGACAUCACCCAAACACCACGCCCUGAGGCAGUUUGAUAUGGUGGUGCGGAAAAUUCGGGGAUAGUUCGGGUUUGCCUCGCAGCCUGAAUGAAAUUUAGAGGAUAAGGUAACGGUUGGUGGCUUUGGUCUUGCCGUUACACGAAAAUGAAGGCAAAGAUAAGCGUGUAGAAAGCAGAUUAUUUCCUCGUUUGGACACGGGUUCGACUCCCGUCUGCUCCAC
This 400-nucleotide transfer-messenger RNA is filed under the name Bacteroidia bacterium. It matches the Rfam family "transfer-messenger RNA". From Rfam's summary of the family: Bacterial tmRNA, also known as 10Sa RNA or SsrA, is named for its dual tRNA and mRNA-like properties. Its role is to liberate the mRNA from a stalled ribosome. To accomplish this part of the tmRNA is used as a reading frame that ends in a translation stop signal. The record is from RNAcentral. Lineage: Bacteria; Pseudomonadati; Bacteroidota; Bacteroidia.